CGGGGGGCAGCAGUAGGGAAUAUUGGUCAAUGGGCGGGAGCCUGAACCAGCCAUGCCGCGUGCAGGAAGACGGCCUUAUGGGUUGUAAACUGCUUUUGUACGGGAAUAAAUCAUAUUACGUGUAAUAUGUUGAAGGUACCGUAAGAAUAAGCAUCGGCUAACUCCGUGCCAGCAGCCGCGGUAAUACGGAGGAUGCAAGCGUUAUCCGGAUUCAUUGGGUUUAAAGGGUGCGCAGGCGGACUAAUAAGUCAGUGGUGAAAUUCUACGGCUCAACUGUAGAACUGCCAUUGAUACUGUUAGACUAGAGUAUAUUUGGAGUGGGCGGAAUGUGUCAUGUAGCGGUGAAAUGCAUAGAUAUGACACAGAACACCGAUCGCGAAGGCAGCUCACUAAGAUACAACUGACGCUCAUGCACGAAAGCGUGGGGAUCAAACAGGAUUAGAUACCCUCGU
This 452-nucleotide ribosomal RNA is filed under the name uncultured prokaryote. RNAcentral's name for it is "bacterial SSU rRNA". It matches the Rfam family "Bacterial small subunit ribosomal RNA", at positions 342 to 791 of the family's 1533-position model. The record is from RNAcentral.